GACGAACGCUGGCGGCGUGCUUAACACAUGCAAGUCGAACGGAAAGGCCCUGCUUUUGUGGGGUGCUCGAGUGGCGAACGGGUGAGUAACACGUGAGUAACCUGCCCUUGACUUUGGGAUAACUUCAGGAAACUGGGGCUAAUACCGGAUAGGAGCUCCUGCUGCAUGGUGGGGGUUGGAAAGUUUCGGCGGUUGGGGAUGGACUCGCGGCUUAUCAGCUUGUUGGUGGGGUAGUGGCUUACCAAGGCUUUGACGGGUAGCCGGCCUGAGAGGGUGACCGGCCACAUUGGGACUGAGAUACGGCCCAGACUCCUACGGGAGGCAGCAGUGGGGAAUAUUGCACAAUGGGCGGAAGCCUGAUGCAGCAACGCCGCGUGCGGGAUGACGGCCUUCGGGUUGUAAACCGCUUUCGCCUGUGACGAAGCGUGAGUGACGGUAAUGGGUAAAGAAGCACCGGCUAACUACGUGCCAGCAGCCGCGGUGAUACGUAGGGUGCGAGCGUUGUCCGGAUUUAUUGGGCGUAAAGGGCUCGUAGGUGGUUGAUCGCGUCGGAAGUGUAAUCUUGGGGCUUAACCCUGAGCGUGCUUUCGAUACGGGUUGACUUGAGGAAGGUAGGGGAGAAAUGGAAUUCCUGGUGGAGCGGUGGAAUGCGCAGAUAUCAGGAGGAACACCAGUGGCGAAGGCGGUUCUCUGGGCCUUUCCUGACGUUGAGGAGCGAAAGCGUGGGGAGCGAACAGGCUUAGAUACCCUGGUAGUCCACGCUGUAAACGGUGGGUACUAGGUGUGGGGUCCAUUCCACGGGUUCCGUGCCGUAGCUAACGCUUUAAGUACCCCGCCUGGGGAGUACGGCCGCAAGGCUAAAACUCAAAGGAAUUGACGGGGCCCCGCACAAGCGGCGGAGCAUGCGGAUUAAUUCGAUGCAACGCGUAGAACCUUACCUGGGUUUGACAUGGAUCGGGAGUGCUCAGAGAUGGGUGUGCCUCUUUUGGGGUCGGUUCACAGGUGGUGCAUGGCUGUCGUCAGCUCGUGUCGUGAGAUGUUGGGUUAAGUCCCGCAACGAGCGCAACCCUUGUUCACUGUUGCCAGCACGUUAUGGUGGGGACUCAGUGGAGACCGCCGGGGUCAACUCGGAGGAAGGUGGGGAUGACGUCAAGUCAUCAUGCCCCUUAUGUCCAGGGCUUCACGCAUGCUACAAUGGCUGGUACAGAGAGUGGCGAGCCUGUGAGGGUGAGCGAAUCUCGGAAAGCCGGUCUCAGUUCGGAUUGGGGUCUGCAACUCGACCUCAUGAAGUCGGAGUCGCUAGUAAUCGCAGAUCAGCAACGCUGCGGUGAAUACGUUCCCGGGGCU
RNAcentral lists this ribosomal RNA (1347 nucleotides) under uncultured bacterium. RNAcentral's name for it is "partial 16S ribosomal RNA". It matches the Rfam family "Bacterial small subunit ribosomal RNA", at positions 28 to 1381 of the family's 1533-position model. The record is from RNAcentral.